AGUGAACGCUGGCGGUAGGCCUAACACAUGCAAGUCGAACGGCAGCACAGUAAGAGCUUGCUCUGACGGGUGGCGAGUGGCGGACGGGUGAGGAAUACAUCGGAAUCUACUUUUUCGUGGGGGAUAACGUAGGGAAACUUACGCUAAUACCGCAUACGACCUACGGGUGAAAGUAGGGGAUCUUCGGACCUUGCGCGAUUGAAUGCGCCGAUGUCGGAUUAGCUAGUUGGCGGGGUAAAGGCCCACCAAGGCGACGAUCCGUAGCUGGUCUGAGAGGAUGAUCAGCCACACUGGAACUGAGACACGGUCCAGACUCCUACGGGAGGCAGCAGUGGGGAAUAUUGGACAAUGGGCGCAAGCCUGAUCCAGCCAUACCGCGUGGGUGAAGAAGGCCUUCGGGUUGUAAAGCCCUUUUGUUGGGAAAGAAAAGCAGCAGGUUAAUACCCCGCUGUUCUGACGGUACCCAAAGAAUAAGCACCGGCUAACUUCGUG
RNAcentral lists this ribosomal RNA (492 nucleotides) under uncultured bacterium. Its description in RNAcentral is "partial 16S ribosomal RNA". It matches the Rfam family "Bacterial small subunit ribosomal RNA", at positions 29 to 507 of the family's 1533-position model. The record is from RNAcentral.